This 489-nucleotide long non-coding RNA is filed under the name Brachypodium distachyon (stiff brome). Its description in RNAcentral is "long non-coding RNA (BDIS_LNC003832)". Lineage: Eukaryota; Viridiplantae; Streptophyta; Magnoliopsida; Poales; Poaceae. The record is from RNAcentral.
CCUACCGGUUGGAACGUCCUGUACUGGAUCCUCGCCACGGUAUGCUUCUUCACCAGGCUGGUCGUCAGACUCCAUGUUUUCCAUCUCAAUGCCGUCAUCGACUUCAAUGCCAUCCUCCCCGUGAGAAGUCCACCUUGAAUAACCAGACACAAAUCCCCGCAUGAGCAAGUGCAUCUUGACAUCCUCUGGCUCGUACAGUUUGCUGUUCCGACAUCUCACACAGGGACAACACAUCUUUUCACCCCUUUUCCUAUGCAUAUCUUCCACGCCGGCAUCGACAAAAGUCUUCAGCCGCUCUAUCCACUCAACACGUAACUUGUCCUCGUACAUCCAAGCACGGCCCAUUGAGCUACAACACAAUUUUAAAAAAAAAUAAACGAAUUAGCUUGAUCGACAAAAAUGGAAAAUUUCGGCAUGACCUUUGCUAAAAAAGUAGCAUUUCAGACUACGAAAUUCGAUGCCUGCAUCAAAAACAAAUUACCCCCACCC